UGUUAAUGGUAGUGUGUUGUAUGUGUGUGUAUUGGAGUAUGUUGCUAUGUGUAUAUGGGAGUGUGUUGUAUGUGUGUGUAUCGGAGUGCGUAGCUGUGUGUAUAUGGGAGUGUGUUGUAUGUGUGUGUAUUGGAGUGUGUAGCUGUGUGUCUAUGGGAGUGUGUUGUAUGUGUGUGUAUCGGAGUAUGGAGCUGUUUGUGUAUGGG
Molecule: non-coding RNA, 206 nt
Organism: Pelobates cultripes (western spadefoot toad)
Lineage: Eukaryota; Metazoa; Chordata; Amphibia; Anura; Pelobatidae
Source: the annotation of a GenBank genome assembly